This 200-nucleotide ribosomal RNA is filed under the name uncultured bacterium. RNAcentral's name for it is "partial 16S ribosomal RNA". It matches the Rfam family "Bacterial small subunit ribosomal RNA", at positions 28 to 224 of the family's 1533-position model. The record is from RNAcentral.
GAUGAACGCUAGCGGCAGGCUUAACACAUGCAAGUCGAGGGGCAGCACGAUGUAGCAAUACAUUGGUGGCGACCGGCGCACGGGUGCGUAACACGUAUGGAACUUGCCCUAUACUGGGAGAUAGCCCUCCGAAAGGAGGAUUAAUAUCCCAUAAUAAACGAGGUGGCAUCACUUUGUUUUGAAAGCUCCGGCGGUAUAGG